AUACGUAGGUGGCGAGCGUUAUCCGGAUUUACUGGGUGUAAAGGGUGUGUAGGCGGAAGAGCAAGUCAGGCGUGAAAACUAUGGGCUCAACUCAUAAAUUGCGCUUGAAACUGUUCUCCUUGAGUGUCGGAGAGGUAAAUGGAAUUCCCGGUGUAGCGUUGAAAUGCGUAGAUAUCGGGAGGAACACCGGUGGCGAAGGCGGUUACUGGACGACAACUGACGCUGAGACACGAAAGUGUGGGGAGCAAACAGGAUUAGAUACCCUGGUAGUCCACACCGUAAACGAUGAAUGCUAGGUGUGGGGGCGCAAGCCUCCGUGCCGCAGUUAACACAAUAAGCAUUCCACCUGAGGAGUACGGCCGCAAGGUUGAAACUCAAAUGAAUUGACGGGG
Molecule: ribosomal RNA, 392 nt
Filed under: uncultured bacterium
Lineage: Bacteria
Description: partial 16S ribosomal RNA
Rfam family: Bacterial small subunit ribosomal RNA
Source: RNAcentral